RNAcentral lists this ribosomal RNA (494 nucleotides) under uncultured bacterium. Its description in RNAcentral is "partial 16S ribosomal RNA". It matches the Rfam family "Bacterial small subunit ribosomal RNA", at positions 28 to 507 of the family's 1533-position model. The record is from RNAcentral.
GACGAACGCUGGCGGCGUGCUUAACACAUGCAAGUCGAACGGAAAGGCCUGCUUUCCCUUGUGGAUUGCGGGUACUCGAGUGGCGAACGGGUGAGUAACACGUGAGUGAUCUGCCCCCAACUUGGGUAUAAGCCUGGGAUACUGGGUCUAAUUCCCGAUAGGACUGCAGGGUGGUGCCUGUGGUGGAAAACGAUUUUCUAGUGGUUGGGGAUGAGCUCGCGGCCUAUCAGCUUGUUGGCGGGGUAAUGGCCUACCAAGGCGGGGACGGGUAGCCGGCCUGUGAGGGUGGACAGCCACAUUGGGACUGGGAUACGGCCCAGACGCCUACGGGAGGCAGCAGUGGGGAAUAAUGCACAAUGGGCGGAAGCCUGAUGCAGCGACGCCGCGUGGGGGAUGACGGCCUUCGGGUGGUAAACUCCUUUCGACCGCGAGGAAGCCACCUGGUUGGAAGGGUGGUGACGGUAGUGGUAGAAGAAGCACCGGCUAACUACGUG